This 582-nucleotide ribosomal RNA is filed under the name uncultured Bacteroidota bacterium. RNAcentral describes it as "bacterial SSU rRNA". It matches the Rfam family "Bacterial small subunit ribosomal RNA", at positions 336 to 918 of the family's 1533-position model. The record is from RNAcentral. Lineage: Bacteria; Pseudomonadati; Bacteroidota.
UUCCUACGGGAGGCAGCAGUGAGGAAUAUUGGUCAAUGGGCGCAAGCCUGAACCAGCCAUGCCGCGUGAAGGAUGACAGCGCUAUGCGUUGUAAACUUCUUUUGUACAGGAAGAAACACUUCUACGUGUAGAAGCUUGACGGUACUGUACGAAUAAGCAUCGGCUAACUCCGUGCCAGCAGCCGCGGUAAUACGGAGGAUGCAAGCGUUAUCCGGAUUUAUUGGGUUUAAAGGGUACGUAGGCGGAAAAUUAAGUCAGUAGUGAAAUCCCGCAGCUUAACUGUGGAACUGUUAUUGAUACUGGUUUUCUUGAAUUUAGUUGAGGUAGGCGGAAUGUGUAAUGUAGCGGUGAAAUGCUUAGAUAUUACACAGAACACCGAUUGCGAAGGCAGCUUACUAAGCUAUGAUUGACGCUGAGGUACGAAAGCGUGGGGAGCGAACAGGAUUAGAUACCCUGGUAGUCCACGCCGUAAACGAUGAUCACUCGUUGUUGGCAAUACAUCGUCAGCGACUGAGCGAAAGCAUUAAGUGAUCCACCUGGGGAGUACGCUCGCAAGAGUGAAACUCAAAGGAAUUGACGGAA